This 402-nucleotide ribosomal RNA is filed under the name uncultured bacterium. RNAcentral's name for it is "bacterial SSU rRNA". It matches the Rfam family "Bacterial small subunit ribosomal RNA", at positions 359 to 776 of the family's 1533-position model. The record is from RNAcentral.
GAAUAUUGCGCAAUGGGCGAAAGCCUGACGCAGCGACGCCGCGUGCGGGACGAAGGCCUUCGGGUCGUAAACCGCUGUCGGGAGGGACGAAUUCAUGACGGUACCUCCAAAGGAAGCACCGGCUAACUCCGUGCCAGCCGCCGCGGUAAUACAGAGGGUGCGAGCGUUGUCCGGAAUCACUGGGCGUAAAGGGCGCGUAGGUGGCUUGGUAAGUAGGGGGUGAAAUCUUGCGGCUCAACCGCAAGACUGCCUUCUAGACUGCCUGGCUUGAGCACAGUAGAGGCAGGUGGAAUUCCCGGUGUAGCGGUGGAAUGCGUAGAGAUCGGGAAGAACAUCGGUGGCGAAGGCGGCCUGCUGGGCUGUUGCUGACACUGAGGCGCGACAGCGUGGGGAGCAAACAGG